Camellia sinensis is the source of this 3450-nucleotide non-coding RNA. The record is from RefSeq and is a predicted model, not a curated record. Lineage: Eukaryota; Viridiplantae; Streptophyta; Magnoliopsida; Ericales; Theaceae.
GUAAUGAAAAAAAAAAUGCUAGGUUACAAAUUUUCCCCCCUUUUUUUGUGGUCAUCAGUUUCCUCUCAUCCCUCUCUCAAAACACAGCACCCUUCUUCUCCUUCAGUUUGUUCUCUUCCUUCAGCGCUGCCACCGAUGUAACUCGUUCUCCUUCAGCACCGCCACCAACGUCACCCGUUCUCCUCCUUCAAUGGCGCUACCGAUGUCACCCGCGUUCUCCUUCGACCAAUCGUCAGCACUGCUGGCGUCGCUUCAAGUAUUAUUCAAUUAUUUCUCUGUUUCUCUAUUUUUGUAUUUUCAGGUAUAGGUCCUCUGUCUUUCUCUCUCUCACCCAAUUUCUCUAUUUUUGUAUCUUUGUUGCUAAUUUCCCUUGCUUAUUGAACAUUUGCACUCAUUAAUUUUCAUCAGAAUUACAAACUUUGAACAUCUUAAAAAAGAAGUAAAAUUUUCACUUCAUUAUGGGUAAUAUUUGAAAUAAUAAGGGAAGAACCUGAUUGGAAACCUUUGAAUUUAAUUGAACUGUGCAUUCAAUAUUUAAUUGGUUUGUUGGCUCUGUAACUUUUGUUGAUAGUCAUUUAUCCAAAAUCCUUUUAGAUUUACAGUGAUUGCUUAUGAAUUAUGAACUCCAUGUUUUAAAAAUUUAAGAAGGUUUAUUGUAACAUUUCUUUUGUCUACAAGUUUUGGUUAGAUUUAUUUCUUUAGCUUUAUUUAUUUAUUUAUUAUUUAUUUACCUGUAUUUCUUCAUGCCAGUUGCAAAACUGUUAAAACAUGAAAUUGAUAUUGUUCAAUAUUAAAGGGAUAAGAAGUUUGAAGAUAUUCUAUUUAUGUUUAUGUUUGAUUAAAGAUUGGAGGUUGAUUGUGUCUGCUUUUGCUAAUAGUGGAUGAGGUUGCUGUCUUGCUAACGUUUAUUUAUUUGUGAUGUAAUCAAUAAUUUGAUUUUGUUUUUGGCCACCAGAAAGUCUUUAUCAAAACACAAGUAGAUUACUUGAGUGUUGUAGCAUUUGGUUUGUUAGGUGACUUCAAAAUUAAGGUGUAUGUUUUACAUUUGGACAACUAAAAAAGUAAAGUAUGUGAAUUAAAUCUGUAAAUGAUUUUUUUUCUUCCCUAUUUUUAUGGAAGAAAAAAAAUCAUCUACAAAAUGGCCUACAACAAGAGUUUCCAAAAUGCCUACCAACUCAUUACCAACCUUAUUCACAGUACUAAUCUUGGUAAAGCAUAAUUUUCUUAAAACUCAAGAAUCAGCUAGUAUGAGAAGGGUCUGUAGUUUAGGACUGCAAUACCAAACAAAAAUAGAAUUCACAGAGGCGAAGCUAGAGAAAGAGAAAAAAAAUUCAACGUGAGGACUCUCUAUCUGAGAGAAUCCAACCAUUUCAACAAACUCAGGGAGAAGCAAAGACUUGGUAAAAGACACUCUUUUUAUUUUUUUUAUUGUUUGCUCAUUUUUAUCUUCAUCUCAUUUUAUUUUUUUAUUUUUUAUUUUUAAUUCAAUGAUGGUUAUACAUUUAGUGGAUCGCUGGGAACAAGAGAUGGUCCAUAGUUUCUACUAAUGGGGAGAUGAACAUAAACUUCAUGAACAAGAGACGGUCUAUGGUUUCAAUGCUUUGCUUGAUUAACAAUACUUUUGGUGUUGACAGUUUUUCAAAUGAUGAAAAAUCUAGAGUUAUCCAUAUGAUUUCAAGACUUUCUUCCAUGUUUCAAGCAUGAUUUUUUUUAAUUUUUUUUUCCUUUUCUCCUUGGAACACUAUAUAUAAUUAUCUCUCAGCAGCAAACAAAUCUAUUGAUAGCUACACCAAAAACCUCAGGCAGAUCCAAGUCAAAUAAACAAUAGUCAGGCACAACAAGUGCCAUUAAUAAGUUAAUGCAACUUUACAUAAUAUGUCUCCUACACAAACAAUGUUAGAUGCAGAUAGAACAAACUAUUCUUCUCAGUGAACAAAUGGAUCACACAGUGAAAUAUGCACACCAGAGAUCCGAAAACAGUAUCAUGUUUGUUGAUUUCUUUACAAUAUGAAUCAGUAACUGCAAAUACAAAAUAAAAUAAAAUAAAAAUUAUUGUUUCCAUAAAAAAGCCAAGCAGUUUAAGAGCUCAAGAAUCAGGUAAAUCACAAUAUUCAUUGUACUAAUCUUGGUAAAUCAUAAUUUUCUUAGAACUCAAGAAUCAGGUAGUAUGAGAAGGUUCUGUAGUUUAUGGCUGCAAUACCAAACAAAAAUAGAAUUUAUAAAGGCAAAGCCAGAGAAAGAGAAAAAAAUUCAAUGUGAGGACUUUCUGUCUGAGAGAAUCCAAUCAUUUCAACAAAUCCAGGGAGAUGCAAAGACUUGGUAAAAUACACUCUUUUAAUUUUUUUUAUUGUUUGCUCAUUUUUAUCUUCAUCUCUUUCUGUUUUUCAUUGAAUUCUCAUCUGUCUCUCAUUGAAUUCCCAGAGCUCCACUAAAUGUAUAACCAUCAUUGAAUGCCCCCUGUAUAUCUCUAUAUUUUAUCAUUUUAUUUUAGGACUUGUUCACCAAAGAAAAAGUUACUUAUGUUGCUUUUAUGAUUUCACUUUAAUUAGUUAACAACCAUUCAAUAUUAUGUCUUUAAAACAGUGCCUAGUAGACACCAUCGUGGCUUGACACGAUGGCUAAAGGUUCAAGCAAUGGUUGAGAAAUAUGGAAAACUCGAAGUCCUAGUUAACAACCAUUCAAUAUUAUGUCUUUAAAACAGUGCCUAGUAGACACCAUCGUGGCUUGACACGAUGGCUAAAGGUUCAAGCAAUGGUUGAGAAAUAUGGAAAACUCGAAGUCCUAUACCACAGGAGUAUCGUGCGCCAGUGGGGGAUCAUGCCUUUCAAUUUGUCUCCAGAUUGGUGUUGAGGUCCGAACACACUUGCUAGACCUUAACAUUCGCAGGUGGAAACAUGUCAACAAAGAAGUCACGGCACCUAUGAUGUAGUGUCUAACGGUAAAAGUAUUACAUAAUGGAUUGAAUUCAUAUAAUACAAUUAAUUAUGACUUACAAUAUUCGUGGUUGUUGCUAGGAUCAAUUUGACAUAUAAGGUGAAUCCACAGAUGUUAACAAAGCGGUGGUAACAAAGUGUGGACGGAGUUUGAGCACCCACACCUACAGACUAUGAAAAAAAUACCUAAAUCUUAAGACUGCUAAGGGAGAGGAGUAUGCUAGAAGCCACCCACCGCCUGGAUAUGACCUCAAGAAAUGGAAAAACUUGAUUGACAAGAAGUGGAAUGAUAGCAAUUGAUUGAUUUUUGAUGACAUGGGGAAGAACACUUGCAAAUCAAGAUCAAGUGUUGAAUUUUUAUUUUUAUUUUUCUUGAACUGAUACUUAGUUCUAGUGGCAAAUCAAGAUCGAGUGUUGAUUUUUAUUUGUGGACUCCACGUUAGUUCAUUUUGGGAUUACUAUGAUGGCUUUUUUUUGUUAUACUUAAUGGAUUAAUAUUAAAUUUGUUUGACGGAUA